GAGAGAAGAAUGGCCUCCCAUCUUCUCAAAAAAUUCUCCAUCUCAAACGUCAUUUUCUCCUGAUGGAGAAGCUGAAAAUUUCACCAUCUAAAAAGCUAGAAGUGCUUUUGGCUGAUAAAUGACCAAAAUAACCUGUCUUCUCCCCCUUGGAAAAACGUUCUUUCCUCUGCUGUGAAAGUUUUAUACCCAUUUUUUUCACAUUUUCACUGUGAAAGCUCCUUCCUGUUCUUUGUUCCUCUUCCGUAGAGAUGCUCUUGAUGCUUUGGGAUUGGUUCGGUAGUGGUGUAGGAGAAUGCUUAUGACUCAUGUUGACCUCAUUGAGAAGCUUCUGAACUACAACACAUUGGAGAAGUCGGAGACCAGUUGAGGAAACAUGUAGAAUCUAAGGGUUUGUUGCAGUUUGUGUGAGUGCCUGUCAAUGAUUCUCAGUUUUGUUUAAGUGGGGCCGUGUUUGAAUCCAGAAAAAGGGAAGGAAAGGACUUAAAUAGUACUAGUCUAGUUUGUUUUCUUCAGCUCUAUGAUGGAUCGUUGUAUGUACGAAAUUAGUGGGAUUUGAAAUGCUGAAAGUGAUUGGAAUGCUUUGCUGUUUGCUGGGAUAAUUGUAGGAUCAAAGACUAACUUUUGUUAGUUGCAUUGCUACAGAUGUGUUAGUAAGUGUAGGAUGAAUGGGAACCUUAACCGAGCAUUUUAAAAUCAAUAAUGACAUGACCUUCUGGUAGCUUACAAGCUAAGUGAGGGAAGUGGGAAUGAAGCAAAAGACACCAUUUAAUUA
Long non-coding RNA from Gossypium raimondii (Peruvian cotton), 772 nucleotides. RefSeq lists it as uncharacterized. The transcript is spliced from 3 exons. NCBI's taxonomy places the organism in Eukaryota, Viridiplantae, Streptophyta, Magnoliopsida, Malvales, Malvaceae. The record is from RefSeq and is a predicted model, not a curated record.